GCAGAGUUAGACAGAUGUUUGAGCUCAGCUCGAGGCAGUCGCACACAUCUGGAAACGUUGCAUCACAGCCGAAUGUCCCGGAUAAAGGGAACGGAGAGCCUGUUGUGUUGGUGGAGGAAGAAAAACUGGAUGCUUCAUGAUGAUGAUCGUUGCUGUAUUUGGUUCGUGAGCGGAGGACGCAGAGAAAAAGACGCAAACCACCGUGUUCUAUUUGACCAGCGUUUCGAAGAGAGUCAGAAAUCAUGUGACGGAAUCUGAGAUCAUCCAUUUGAUACAAGCUUGCAUGUAGCCAGAGGUGUCAACGUUAUGCUGAGUUUCAGAAAGGAAGUGGACAAUAAAGACUGCCUACAAAGUGAUGGAAAGACAGAGUAAGACACAGUGGGCACAUUAUUUGCUUGAAUAUGCUCACAUUAUGCAAGCUGAGCAUUCGUAAGCCAUUUUUUUUAAUGCUUCUGAUGUGUUAAUUUCAGCAAGCAUUGCAAAGUGC
This 487-nucleotide long non-coding RNA is filed under the name Sinocyclocheilus grahami. RNAcentral's name for it is "lncRNA (ENSSGRG00000028594.1)". The record is from RNAcentral. Lineage: Eukaryota; Metazoa; Chordata; Actinopteri; Cypriniformes; Cyprinidae.